This 253-nucleotide ribosomal RNA is filed under the name uncultured bacterium. RNAcentral's name for it is "partial 16S ribosomal RNA". It matches the Rfam family "Bacterial small subunit ribosomal RNA", at positions 524 to 776 of the family's 1533-position model. The record is from RNAcentral.
UACGUAGGGUCCGAGCGUUGUCCGGAAUUAUUGGGCGUAAAGAGCUCGUAGGCGGUUUGUUGCGUCGGCUGUGAAAACCUGAGGCUCAACCUCAGGCCUGCAGUCGAUACGAGCAGACUAGAGUGUUGCAGGGGAGACUGGAAUUCCUGGUGUAGCGGUGGGAUGCGCAGAUAUCAGGAGGAACACCAAUAGCGAAGGCAGCUCGCUGGGACGUUACUGACACUGAGGCGCGAAAGCGUGGGGAGCGAACAGG